GUGCCAGCAGCCGCGGUAAUACCGGCAGCCCGAAUGAUGGUCGAUCUUAUUGGGCCUAAAGCGUCCGUAGCUGGCUGCGCAAGUCCGUCGGGAUAUCCACCCGCCCAACGGGUGGGCGUCCGGUGGAAACUGCGUGGCUUGGGACCGGGAGGCCUGAGGGGUACGAUCGGGGUAGGAGUGAAAUCCUGUAAUCCUGGACGGACCGCCGGUGGCGAAAGCGCCUCGGGAAGACGGACCCGACAGUGAGGGACGAAAGCGGGGAUCUCGAACCGGAUUAGAUACCCUGUAGUCC
Molecule: ribosomal RNA, 292 nt
Filed under: uncultured bacterium
Lineage: Bacteria
Description: partial 16S ribosomal RNA
Rfam family: Archaeal small subunit ribosomal RNA
Source: RNAcentral